This 1617-nucleotide long non-coding RNA is filed under the name Salmo salar (Atlantic salmon). Its description in RNAcentral is "lncRNA (ENSSSAG00000005298.2)". Lineage: Eukaryota; Metazoa; Chordata; Actinopteri; Salmoniformes; Salmonidae. The record is from RNAcentral.
AUCAGAAUCUGCCCAUGGGAGAUUACCUUCAAUUUUGUACAUUUUAGUCAUUUAGCAGAUGCUCUUAUCUAGAGCAACUUACAAUUAAAAUAACUUUAUGUUCAUCUGUAUUGCAUUUGACACAGGUGUUAGAUUUGUCCUACAACAAUCUGUCUGGAGAUGUCUGUUGGUCUACUUCUCUAUCUGAAAGUCUUUCAUCUCACCGGGAAUCAGCUUCAGGCCCUUCCUCCCAACAAGGCUGCCCCUCGCCAUGACCUCUCACAGCUGUGAGUUCAUGUUCAUAUUGUUGUUUUUAUUGUAGAUUUUAAACUGUAGGUAAGUGCAGUUUUCUGGUUUAGUUCCCUCAGUCAUAGAUAACCUUCCUGCUCAACACGGUUUAACCACUAGAAUGAAAUGAGUGGCUUCCUGGUGUGCAAGUGCUCAGAAAUGUGGCUCUUAUGAUUUGUUACCUGGUAAAAGUUUAUGGUCCAGUUACAUUCCACUGGGUGGCAGUAUAGGAUGACAAAGAGGAGAAAUUUACCAAGCGCUCAUAAUACACAUUUGAACAGAAUACCUGCUAAUAGGGAUGGACAAUAGACACGUGCUGAUGCUACAGUAGAUAACAAUAAGCUGUCCCCUGGUGUCUUCAGAAGCCUUGCCAACCUAAAAAGACUACAGCAUUGAAACCUGCAGGGGAACCACAUCUCAGUAGUACCAGAGGUGUUACCAAGGAACCUGCAACAGAAGGGGUAUUUGCAACACCAGCAGGUGUCUCUCAAACAAAAUUGUGAUGAACAGGACUUCAGGAAUCCCCCUGUCUCUGAGGGGUAGGAGACUGAAUACAUUAAUGGAUGUGUGGUCAAUCCAAAAAACGAUUCCCCCACUCACAUAUUCCUUGACACUGGGGCUGAGGACAGAGAGGAAUUGUAUGGAGUAUACGGUUUGCCACCACCAGAGCUUUGUUUCCUCAAUGUGGCUGACAAUAAGGUAUGUACAUUGUCAAGAUAUAUUUCGGGAGGACUAUACUGUGAGUCAGUGAAGUCCCUUGUCUCAUUAUUGCCUCCAGAUUGUCGAGGAAGAAGCAGUGUCUGUAGCUGUGUUCGUCCUAUGCUCAGUGAGAUUGUUAUUCACUCCAACCCACUGACCACACAGAAGUGGUGCCCCCCUACUGCUGACUUACUUCCUCCAGGAAAGGCUGGGUAUUAGAAUUAGGUAAAAAUGAAAAUUCCAAAGGUGCCUUUAUUGAUGCUCCUUGACGCUGCUGGCUCUCUGGAGGUGAAAGAUGUUGAAGAUCACACUAUACAAUAGUCAUCAGAUGACCCUUCCAAAAUGAGGAGUCAUUCUUUUGUGGUGGCUGCUGAGGGAAGAACUUUUCAUAACAGUGGCGGUCAGUGCUGUUUAUGAUGAGGGAGGAAUUUAUUAAUUUUUUUCCUUCGUGAGCAUGUCCUCUAUUACAGCGUGUUGGAUGACUGUCAUUCAUAUUGUAUUCACCCAGUUCAAUGUAACAUUGAUGGUUUAGGCUAUUACAUGAUUCUCAAAUUUUCCCUAUACCCACCAUGAUGUUGCUACAACCUAGUUUAUGUCAUUUAAGAUUAGACAGUGACACAUUCAAUACUGCCUUGCCUGCAUCGCUUAUCU